This 253-nucleotide ribosomal RNA is filed under the name uncultured bacterium. RNAcentral describes it as "partial 16S ribosomal RNA". It matches the Rfam family "Bacterial small subunit ribosomal RNA", at positions 524 to 776 of the family's 1533-position model. The record is from RNAcentral.
UACGUAGGGUGCAAGCGUUGUCCGGAAUUAUUGGGCGUAAAGAGCUCGUAGGCGGUUUGUUGCGUCAGCUGUGAAAUCCCGAGGCUCAACCUCGGGUCUGCAGUCGAUACGAGCAAACUAGAGUGUUGCAGGGGAGACUGGAAUUCCUGGUGUAGCGGUGAAAUGCGCAGAUAUCAGGAGGAACACCGGUGGCGAAGGCGGGUCUCUGGGCAACAACUGACGCUGAGGAGCGAAAGCGUGGGGAGCGAACAGG